Molecule: long non-coding RNA, 11801 nt
Organism: Cygnus olor (mute swan)
Lineage: Eukaryota; Metazoa; Chordata; Aves; Anseriformes; Anatidae
Exons: 7
Source: RefSeq, a predicted model, not a curated record
GCUAAGGACCUGUCAGCAAAACAGGGGAGCAGGUCUAGCUUGGUAACUUCAUCCCCUUUCUCUGGCUGUGGCCUCUCCUCCAUUUGGCAGUUUGCUGCUCGUGUCCUCUUUGUAGCUGACAGAUUCUGAAGAACGUGAACGUGAAUUUUUGGAGGUCAUGUCAGAGUUGAAGGCAGUGUUUAUGAAAAUGGAUGAGGGGGGCUGAGAACUGUUUUCUCUGUUACAUUCUGCUUUGUCUCUUUCCUUUAUGCAGCAGUUUAGAGCUUCAUAUCUUUGUUGAAGCAACAAAAUUCCUUUCCUUCUUCUGGAGCAUUGAUGCCACAACUCUCUCCUUCCUCAGAAGUGUUUGCCUACCCGUGGCUCAUCGUUAGUCUCAGAUCUUGCGAAAGUUCCAGCUUUUUAUCACUGCGCGGGUCAAACUUGCUGUCCCCAAAGGAAGAAAGAGAAGUUUCCAAACCAAAGUAGGGCACUUUGUACACUCACACCUGAUGUAGCAGCAUUGGGUGGGCUUCUGCUGUGGCUGCCAUGCUGGCUUUUGGAUCCGCUUGUGAUAGUCAGGUUCUGCAGAGCCGCAGGACUUCUGACACCGUGUGUGGGAAUUUGGAGCAGCAAGGCCUGUCACUGACUAGAUUUUAAAUUAUUGUUGGUCUGAAGAGAAAAAUACCUAUUUUGUCUCUUCCUCAUUUUCCUCUUACCCCCAUCCAGUGUUACUUUGGCAUGAGUUAUUUGCAUGUCAUUAUUUCAGCUGCCCUAAAUUGGGGGGGACUGUGAUGCCAGGGCUGAUUAUGUGGCGGCGCUGGACAAUUUUCUCUGUUAGGCAACUGUAAUACAUUUCCAUGUUCUUUUAUAAUGAGCUUUAUUUACCAAAUUGGCAAUUCCUCUGUUGAGAAAUAACUGAUUACAGCAUUCAGGGAGUUGCUGUCAUCUCAAGAUAUGCAGGUGUCUGUGGAACAUAAACAGAUGUGAUCGUUCAGACAAUGAACUCAAUUGAUAGAGGGUAGGGGAAAAAAAUUCAGCCAUAAAAUCAUAAAUGUAACAUCUCCAGCUAAUGUUGGCCAGGUGCACUGUGGCUGUUUUGCAGACCAGCAAGGACAGAGUGGCACUCUCAGGCCAUCCAGCACCUCCAGACGAGAGACCGCUUGAUUAUUAGUUGAAAAUACACCUCUUGCACAUCAUCCCACUUCAGUACUGGCUUGCCUAACCCUCAGCCUCUGGUGGCUUCUGAGGUCAGAAGUUAGUUCAUCGUGUAGCCUUAGAGUUGGAAAAUCCUGUCCGGCCAUGCUAGGUUUGAUUUUGGAUACUCUCUGAUGAACAUCUGCAAACUUCCUGGUGAUCCUGUGUUGUGGGGAUUGCGGUCCUGUCUGCCUUCCAGGCAGCCCCUUCCUUUGGUGUUGCAUAGGGCCCAUGAGUGGUUCUGUUGCUGCUGUUGCCCUGAUCGUCAGCUUAAAUAUCUGAGCCUCGGGAGAAACAUGAUGAGGAGAGAUGUCAAUGGGAAACUACCAAAGAUGAGAGUCAGUUUGUGGAGCCUUAGAAGCCACCUGAGUAAAAAAUCUACAGGUAGCACAGCUUUGAGUGUAUUUUUUUCCCCUGCUACUAUUCUUACUCUUUUUUUCCCCUGCUACCGUAUUACUGAGGCCCUUGCAAAGAAGGAAGAAGCCCCACAUCUGCUCUUAAGCUCCCUCUCCUUCUGUUUCUCCUUGACUGCUUGUUGGAUAUCCAGAGCAUUUUUUUUUUCCAUGCAGGAUUGUGACAGCAGGUGUCAGUUACAUUCCAGAGUAGGAGAGAUCGUUAUUGCUGGUGCCUGGUGGCCAGUGUUGAAUAGAUGUCCUUAUCACACAGCCACCGUCGCAGUUGGCAUUAAUGGGAAGCUUGGACAACAAGGAUAAGCACGGGCUGAGUCUUUUGUAGAAGCUGAAUUGGAGGCAGUUCCCUCCAAGGCAAGUUUGAGGUGGGGUACGGGCAGUGAGCCACACUGCUGUCUGUGCUGCACGUGCUGGAUGAAAAGGAGCUCUUUCGUGCCCAGGAAUAUCCGUGACCUUUUCCACCUACUAAAACCCAAACUGCCCAAUGCCAGAUGCAGUUCAGCUCGAUGCUCCAUUCAGCCGAACAGCUGCAUGUCCAUUUUGCCUGCUCAGUUUUUGCAGUUCUGUGUGCAAAUUGGGUAAUUGUGUGUACGAAUGCAUCCAGUAAUUCAUCUGCAGUGUGCAGAAUUGUGGUAAUUUCAUAUAAAAAUACAGGUUUUCAGAGUGCCCGCUUUACAAGUAGGAAUUGUUUUAAAACUGGCCAGAUGAAUGAAGGAACAACCUUUUUAUUUGUGCAUAAUUUCUUGGUGUUGUGGGAAGGAAAAAGAACACAAACAACAAAGUUAGAGGAGAUAGAGCAAAUAACAGAACUGAUAGAAAUUUUCCAGUAGGCUUCAAUAGCUUUUUAAAUGAAACAUUCAACAAGCACUUUGAGAUUCCAGCGUGCAAGGACAUCUCAGGCUCUCUAACCACCAAAUUUGUGAUCUUGCAUAUAAACACAACCCAUUGCCUCCUGUUGUUAAUAUUUCACACUUGGCUUUGCAAGAUGUUUUAUCUAAUAUCCUCUCUGCAUUCAGGCUUCUACCAACUCUGCCUUGUCCACAACAAGAGAGGCUGGAGGAAGAAGGCAAUUGCCAAGCGUGUCUGUAAUCUAUGUAGGAGGGUUUUGUGUAGCUGUAGGGGGAGAAGAGUAAGUCUCAUUUCUUAUUUUAUAGUCUGCUGAAUCCUGUGAUCUCGUGCUGUGCGCUCCUUUCCUAGGCAGAAUUUUUCCAUUUGUCUUUCGGGUUGUUGUUAUUUUUUAUUUCCAAACUGGUUAAAAGUGUUUGUCUGUAGCUUGUCGCUAAAUUGUUUACGUCUGAUUCCCUUAAAACACUUCAUUGCCAGCCUUCUGCGCAUCUCGGGACCACGUUCUUCAGUUUGCCUGGUUACUUGGUCUUUUCAGGUUAGAAGCAGAAUCGAUACAAGGACUCUCCUCUCCUCUCCUUCCUUCCCAAUGCCUCUAACAGCUGCUGUAAUUAGAUGCACCUGGUUAAAAUACAGCCUACAACUGCAACAGCUCUUUCUGCCACCCCAGGGAGCUGUCGCACCCUUUUCUCUUUUCAGCUGGCGCAGCACCCCAGGAAACUUGUGGCAGCCUGAUGGGCUGUUCAGAGCCCUGCGGGUCCGUAGCCCCACACCUGCUCUCCUUUUUAGUUUUAUAUUUUUAUUUUUAUUGUCCUUGGAGGAGAUGGAUGUGAUAUUCCUGCACCAAUUCUCAUGACCUCCUUAUCUGUCAGCCUUAUCACUCUGCUCUUUGUGCACGCCUUGGCUUCCCAUCACUUCCCCAGGUCUCCUAGGCUGAUGUGCUGGGAGACUGAAGGGUGAUGUGGACUGAAGUGAUUAGCCUGGACCAGUAGUCGUCUGCAUGCUGAGCUUGUUCAGGGCAGUAAUGAUGCCCCUCCGCCUCCCGCCCGGUGUUAAUUACGCCGGCAGAGUGGUAGUUGCACAGCCUGGGGCAAAGCUAGAGGGAGCAAACGGAGCAGCUGUUGGUCUCAGGAGGGCUCCAUGUCAAAAGUGCCUUGAAUUUAAUGACACACGUGCUCUUUUCAGACUUUUUACAGAGGUCAGCAAGCACUUGGCAAAGAACUUUCCUUUGUCAUCCAGCUCGGGAGAGCAGCAAACAAAGUUUAGUUUCCAAGUCGAAGAUGAAAUCAGCUGCUCCCUCCGGGGCGUGUAACAAGCUGCACCUGAAGCUGGUUUCCCCUUGCAAAUGGCCUAAAUUAGAUGUUCUUCCUGCUCUCCCUCGGUGGAGGAGCUUGUGCUUGAUCCAGCAGUUCCUUUUGUGCAAAGUAUUAUGAGAUGUUUGCUGAUAGUGCUUGUCUUACUGCCCCUGCAAGGCUCUAUGUAGAAUGAAGGACUUGUUGCUGAGGGACUGGGGGGGGGAGUUUGGGCUCCUGCCUUGCCCACUCCUUUGUUUUCAGGAAAUUUGUUUAUAAAUAAAUACAAUUUCUGCUAUCUUUGGGACAGAUUUACUAAUUAACAUGAGCUCAAUCAAAGCUCAUUGGCUUACAAAGGUCUUUUUGGAGACUUAGGAUCCGCUCACCUUCUUAUGGAUCCAUUAAACUCAAUUUUAAAUUUCAAAAUCCUCCUUGAAUAUUGAGUUAACAUUGGGUUGAUAGCUGUGGAGGAAGUUGUCUUCGUCUCCUAUCUCCUACUGCUAACAUUUACAGCAAACUGGUGCAUGCAGCUAAGUACAUUUCCAUUUUUUUUCUGUACAGAUAUAUAUAUAUUUUUUUUUAGUUAUCAGCACUGUUUAAGGUCAGAAAAAAACAGUGGGUCACCCAGGCUGCCAAGUAGGAAAUGACCUAGGGCUCGGAGCAGCUCUAGGAAGCAUUGUUCAGCCUCGGCUUUCUGAGCAUCACAUUGGAAACUCGGAAUCCUUUUGGGUUCUCUGCUGCUGGGCCUUUUAAAUGUCUGGUUUCUGUAGCAGUAAGGACUCAUUUCCGUGGGCUGUUCCUGCUCUGGGGCAGCUGCUGCUUUCCAAGAGCCCCAUGCAAGCAGCUGUGUGCUAUCUUGGGUACGCCUUGACCGAUUGCAUCCUUAACCUGCGUACGUAUUCUGAGGUGUGUGAGUGGAGAACUCAAACCCUGCAGGCAACGAGAGCACCCCCGGUGCUGGGCUUUCUUUGUGCUGCGACUUUUUCCCUCUACUCCUGAGCUUCCAGCGUGCCGUUGCCAACUCAUGAUAACUUCCUUGGACCGCCGUUUAUUGGAUUAAAUGGAUCAGCGCUGUACAGCUGUGAUGCCCCGCGCUGCAUGUAGGCUGAGCCCGGCAUCCCCGUGCGUUGCAGGUUUCCGAAGCCACCUUUUGCCACGAGGGUGCUGCUGCUCCCUGGCACGGCUCCGCGAUCGUGUCUCAGAGCUCGGCGGUGGGACGGGGCACAGCAGAAGGCUCUAGUGGCACUGGCUGCCUCGGAGGGCUGGGUUGUCUAACCUGAGGCUUACCUGGGGGCUUAUUCCAAACCUAAAUCGGGUGCUUGCGCAGUGCUGGGGGGGGUCUUUGAGAUGAAGAUGUUAAAAAAUGAGAAAAUGCUCAGCUCUUUAUUUUCCUACUGUGUUCUUACUGUUUUAUGUAGUGACUUCUGGUACCCUGAAGUGUCCGUUCCCAGGCUGGGGGGGCAAUUUAGAGAAUGGAAUACCCACAGUAAUGCCUUUAAUAUACUCGGUGGCUGCUUUCCCUGCAGUCCUAAUGAAACCCAGCCAUGAAAGGCUAAUCUGCAUCCCAUGUGUUCGUCCUCGACGGUGCUGCGCUGGCGGGGCCAGACCAGCACUGAUACCCAGCUGUUUGUCCUGCCCUUUCCGAAGCUGCCAGGCUGCAAAUGAUGGAUUUCUCCUUCCAUCACACCAGGCUUUAGCAAAGCUGACCUCCACAUGAAAAACAGCUCUGCUGUAUCCCUCGGUAUCACUGCCCAUGUAUGUGAUGGGUGAUGGUACCGUUGUGGGGCAGAGGGCGAGGAGGGGGCUCUGCACGCACCGUGGGGAGCCCUGUGGUGGUGUGGGGCUGCAGGACUUCCACGGGCGGCAGCUGAAGGACGUUACCUGUGAUGAGUCCUUGCAACAUGUCUGCUUCACUGGUUCACGGUGCUCAUAACCUGGCAGCACCUGUGUGCAGACUGGGAGGGGCUCCUCGUCAGGCAUUAAUUUGACACCCAGCUGCUCCAACCACCCAUCCUACCCCCAGGCUGUUGCUCGCUGACCGAUGCUGCCAAGCACCACAGAUUUGAAAUUCUAUUACCAUUUCAGAAGGCAGGCGUUUGAAGAGAAAAUUGAAUACCCGUCCAGUCUUGAUAAGAAGGGACAUUUGGAGAAACACGGUGACUUAAAAAUCCAUCUCCGGUGGCUCGCGGAUGGGAACUGGAGCCCGGACGCCCUGCCAUGUCGUUCACAGGGCCGGACAUUUCAUCCUCGCCGAGGAGCUGUGCGACAUGUCCCUGGAAUGACAAUGAAGAGCAAACACGACGCCGUAGCCUGCUGUUUCCGAAGGGGCCCGAUUCUUCGCUGCCAUCCCCAGAAAACGAAGGGGCUCCUUGGCGUCUCGUGGCCGCCCGCUUGUCCCACGUGGAGGAGAUGAAUUUCUCAACUCCGGAGGAUUUGGUGUUCGUCUUUCUGCUGACGUGGAUGGUGGAGGAGACAGCCAGCCUGGGAGACGGAGCAUGGCACCUAGGAGUAGGGGCAGAUGUGGCAGAUGUGAACACGCUGCCCUACAACCCACGGGUCCUUUCCCUAGUACAAACCCUGUCUCCUGAAAGGAGGUGACGGGGAGAACAGGGGGCUCGGUUUUAGUCUUGCUGGUGCAGCAUCUGGUCUUAAUUGUCAUUUCCUGCCUCCUCUGCACGAGGUGGAGAAAGGGCUGCGUAAAAAGGGUGUUCAGGGAGGAAAUAGGGCAGGUGGGAGCGAGCAGCAGCAAGGUGGCUGCAGCACGGGGGCUGGAGGGGGCUCUGACUUUCCCCAGGAGGGAUGCGCUGCCUGGUCCCAGCUGAAUCGGUGAGCCCUGACCUACAGUCGCCAUCCGCAACCAUUAGGUUUCAGAGUCAACAUCUGCUGCAAUGAACAGGGGGGCUCUUUACACCUCCUUUAAAGCCGUUGGGUGAAUCUGUCUUGCCUUUUCCUAUCUGCAAGGCUGACAGCAAACCCCUGCCUGCCCCCUCCCUCCCUCCUCCCCCAGGAAAAUGCCACGGAACCUGCUGCAGCUGGCCGUGACGUGCAGCUGAGUCACCGAAUGCCACCAGCGCUCAACACGCCGAUGAUCGCGCUGCGCCCUUCUGCAGGCUGCAACAAAUCAAAGCAGCCACGUGGGCUCCAGCGGGCAUCUCUGCCCGGCUUCUGCUCCGUCUCCUGGCGGGGUGGGAGCCCCCAAACAGCGGGGCCGGGGCGGUGGCACCACGUCCGCGGUGCCGGGCGGGGGACGGUGCCGUGCCCCUCAGGCUCUCUGCGGAGCGGUGUAGUCAGGAAGUGACUUUCUUUCUUCCCUUCAAAGUUGCCCCGACUCGAAGUCAGGCCUGUCUGCUUUUGGUUCCCGCUGCGCAGGGAAGCCUGGAUGUUAUUCAUCAAGGGAUGUCUGAUUUGCUUAGCAGGGAGCCCUCGGGCUGCCGGGAGGAAGCACAAAGUGGUUCGGCAGUGGCUGCAAAGGUGGGAUCGGAGUCCAGGAGCUGACGGACACGAGGAUGCUCUCCCCGGGCCUGGGAGGGUUGAGAUGGCAGCUUGACGGCUUGGAAAAUAGGCUGAGAUGAAGGAAUAUCAAUACGGAGAGAGAGCUGUUCCUGCCGAGCAGCCCCGGGGCAGCUAACGUGAAAUGCUGGUUGUCUCCCAGGAGCUGACAGGUGUCUGCAUCAGGCUUCCUGCUAAUUAAGCGCCGUUGUGAGUCACGGGCAAAGGGAUGGAGGAGCCGGGAAGAAGCUCACCCAUGAAGGUAUGGCUGGGGGGGGGCUCUGCAGGGGCUCCCUCCCACCUGGGGAAGAGCUGAGGGAAGGACUGGUGCAUGUCAGGUCAUUGUCAGGUGAGGGAUAAGCAGUCAUGGGGCAGGCAAGUCUUUAGGGAGCUUGGAGAGGAGCAGAGCUUCUUCAAGACACGUCCUUCUGGGUGUCCGUCCUCUCCCACCAUGCUGCUUGUCCUUCUCUGGGUCCCACCAGCUCCUGGAGCUCCCACCGCAGACCUGCGAGACCUCGCAGGAACACCCCAGCACAUCUCACACCCAUCCCAGCACCAAAACACUCACAGCAGGGACCCCCUUCCCAAACCACUGGGUGCAUCGCUCCCGGCCCAGCAGGCUGGAGAAAUCACAGGGCUCCCAGACCUCUCUUUCCUCCAAUCCUCCUCCCUCCUUCCAGGUGACCUCCUGUGCCCGGCUGACCUCUCCCUUCCCAGCCCCGGCCAGGGGAGCUUCUCGCUGUAAUUAACGGCAGCGCUGCCUGCCCGCCGAGGCCUCUAAUAGAAAAUUCCCCAUUUCAAGGAACAUAAGCACAGCGGGGCGGAGGAAGGGGCCGUUCAUCAGCGAUGCUUUGCGGGCGCCUGUGGAUCCAGAGGGCGUCCGUAGCAGCAGGCACGGGAUAAAAGCAGGCAGCAAAGUGCCCUCCUCGCCAGGCGGGCCGGGGAGAGGAGGAAUGACAGCCCCCAUGCCACCCCACGUCCCUUCCCCAUGUGCCUCUCCAGUGCCUUUUGCCUGCUGGCCCUGCCUGCGUUUGCAGCUGUGAUCCCCUGAAAAAUGGCUCUAUUCAUUACCCAUUUUAAUUUCAGUCUGGAUCCCCAGAGCUCUGCAGACACAUUUUGUUAUCCUGGCUGUCAAGAAGCUUAAAGAGCUGCUGACGCCUCCUGGAAAACUUUGACAAACCCUCUGUUUGGGCACCGUGCUGCCUCCCCAGCCUGUCUGCCCAGGCUUUCCGCUCCCUAGUUCUUUAUUAGCAACGAUGUCUGCGAGGACAGGAGGAGAGAAAAAGCCCCACCACUGACAUCUGUGCAGAACCGAUUUCCUCUCGAGGCCCCUUCCCUUUCAGAGGAUGCCCUGGGAGCUGAGCUGCAGAGGACGGGUGUGAAUGUCCCCAAAGAUCAAGUUUGCUCUCCGGGAAGCCAGAUGUCACAGCGGAAAGGGGCACUGGGUUUGUCCCAUCCCCACACAUCGCUGCUCAGCGCAGAGGGCUUAAACCUGUGGUCGCAGACUCUCAGGGAACCAUUUUAGGUGGUCCCCGGGAGGUGAACAGGGGAGCUGAUCUGUGCCUGAAGACCUGUGUGCACCAUGCAGGAGCCUGUGUUCUCAAUGGGAAAUUUUUAGCAGUCAGAAGCUGAAAAUGGUUGAAAAAAUCACAAAUUUAGCCACUUAUUUAUAGCCCCUCACCACUCAGUUGGACUGGAUUAACCCAGUGAGCUGCGCGGAACAGCUUUCCCAUCUAUUCUGGCUCUCUUUGGCGAUCUAAUCCUCUCCCAAUUAGUUUCUUUUUACAUGGUAGUUGUCGGGCUGCUUUUAGAGAACAAAAUGCCCCUCGGUCUCUUCACUAACAUAGGAAAGUGCACCAGACACACCGAGAACAGAUCGUCUCUAAAUGUAAUUUUGGUCAAAGUUCUGCGUAAGAAGUGCAGAGUCAGCCGCAUGCUUUUAGCAUAAUGAGAACGAGCCAGCCGAACUCGUAACCUCUGUGGUUUUGGUCCAGCUGAGAACGGAGUCAUCUUCUGCUUCAAACCUUCCUCCCAGCGCCCCGCCGAGCUCUGAAAUUCCGAGUGCCUUUGAGGUGCCACUCACGCCGGCUGUCCUCGGGGCACGUGGGAGCACGGCCGAGCCUGCCGGUCCCCGGAGGUUCGUCAGCUGCAGGGGGAUGAGGAGGCACGAGGGCUGAGGGGGAGCAGAGCAAUUAAAAAGCCAUCAGAGGCAGGACAAAAAGACGAGGCUUUCAGAGCUAACGAGGGGCCAGCUGCAGGGGUGAGCUGCCCAGACCCUGGGGAAAGCCACGAGUGAUGAGCGUGGUCCCCUGAUCUCUGGGCAUGGUGCUGGACGAGCCAUCGGGAUGGCCGUGGGGUGCUGUGGGCUCUGUGGUUUGCUGCAAGCCCACGUCUCCUCCCCACCUCAUCUGAACCCCAGAAAUGUUCCUGCCGUGCACCCAGGCCCCUGGCAUGGGGGCUCUUGUUCUUUUUUGCCUGUUUUUAUUCCUCUCUGCAACCCCCUGCUCCUGACCUCCAGCAGUAUGUUCUGCAUAAUCAGUGCUAUUUUCUAAAGUAACGAUAACCUAUGCUAACUACUGGAAACUGUAGAUGACAAAAACCUACCCUGUUUGCUAAAAUCUUGAAGCAAUAAUAAAACCCUAGGUAUAACCACAGCCCUGUGGCCAGUCAUCAUUCUGCCCAGGCCUCCUAGAGAACCCGCCUGUCCCCAGGUGACACUGUCGCGCCUGGACCUCUUUGGAAGCUGCUGGAUGGCUGGAGGCAUGCUGGUGGCCAGGGUGCCAGGCCUCUUUCCUGAGCUCUUCUGAGCUCCUCCGCCUUGGUUUCAUUCCUCACCACUUUGUCAAUCCAUCACCCUCUCGUUCAGCAAAAAUAAGGUGCUCGGGCUCCCCUCCCACCGGUGCUGAGCUGGGGAAGGGGAGCUGCAGAGAUGGUCGGAGCCUUGCGGGGCUGCGUGAUCCUGCCCUGCGCACGGAGCGAGCACAGGGAUAAUCCGCCCCUCUUCCCCACGCCUGCAGCACGAGAUAGUGGCCGAGAGAGCAAGGUGCCCGUGCAACGCUCCUGAGAGCGAGCGGAUUUACAGGCGGUGGUGGGAGCCUGCCUGAAUAUCUCUCCCUUCUUCUUUAUGCGUUUAAGAGGUUUCGCUGUCUCGCUAACUCCCCUGAGAGGCCCAAGUAGCAGCCUCUUCGGAUGUGAAUACCUGACAAGUUUUUAAUGUGAAAUGAAUUCACUAAAUUUAGUCUCUUGGAGGGGAAGGAAAAAAAAAAAGAGAACCGCUUCUUUCAAUCUGGGGGAAGUGAUCCAAACCCCAGCCGCUUCCCUGCCAUCAGAGCGAGCUGAUUUGUUCUUUUCUCCUCUGUCUCAAAAGCUUUUAAGUCUGGGCCCCAUGUGUGCCUGUGCACAAAUAAGAGGUGGGAGAAUGGCAGGCACCGACGCCGGUGUCUCAGGGGGAAUAUGACAGCUCCCAGCUCCUGGCCUCCACAUGACAGAUGUUGACGAGGGCAGGGUGGGGAGAUAGACAAAAGAAAAACCUGUGAAGAGGGCUCUCUUUGGGUCGGAAGGGACCUCUUGUCUGAGUCUUAGGGAUGCCGUCUUUGCUUUCGAGUGGACGUUGUGCAAGACACAACUGGUGCUGAGGGCUGGAAGUAAAAAGCACCUUGCCUGGCGUACUUGUCUGAAUCACCUGUUCUCCACCCCAUCCUCUCUUCCUACCCUCGCUGGAGCCUCCAAGGUCCACUUUUCUUCUCUGUUCUGGCUCCUGAGGUUCACCAGGAACCUUCUGCUCUCCUUUGUUGUCCUCUCCCAAGGGCCAGAGUAGCCUCUGGGCUCUGCUGGCUGAAGGAGGCUUCCUGGUCUCCAUGGCUUCAUGAAGGUUACUUCAGCCCAGGUAAGGAGCUGUGUACGUGCUUGUAUCUGUUAGUACAGGUGGAGGCAAGCGCACGUGGUCAGUCGUUGGAGGCUGAGGUCUCCACGAGCAUGUCUACACGUCCACACAAGGUGAGUAUAUGCAUUACUGCAGCAGAGCUGAUGGCUGGCUACUCCAAAAUUCAAUGGUGUACAUGAGGCUGAAGGGCAAAGUGUGUCUUGGUGAUGCGGUUUGGUGGAGAUAAAGGUUUGGCUGGCUGUGCCCUGGGCGAGCAAGCCAGCUGUGUCUAUUGCCCUCAUGGCGCUAGUGCCUGGAUGCCCACCUGACCUGUGGUCGGGGUUUGGAGGCUGUUAUCUCGGUGGGCUGUGGGUUUUUGUGGCUGGAGGGCUACUAAGAUUGAAGCCCCAAGCUGGGGGAGAUCAUUCACCCCCAUGCUGCAGUGAUCCACCACUCCAUCUCCUGGCAGGAGAGCGGUUACACACCAUUUAUAUCCCACAUAUCACCGGUGAAAGGAGUGGAGGUGCAGGCCUGAUUAUGAAGACUUUAUUUAGUUCUGUUUGCCUCUAAAAAGGUCACUUCCCAGCUGAGAGAUGCAGGAGCAGAGGAGGAUGGUCACUGGUUUCUGCAGGGCCUACACCCACGCAGGGACACCGGGGUGGUCCUGUGCUGGGGAUGGGGUACGUGGGCAUGGGGCAACCGUGCUCUGGCUUGGUGCGAAGCAAAAAUGAA